Molecule: non-coding RNA, 21 nt
Filed under: Mus musculus (house mouse)
Lineage: Eukaryota; Metazoa; Chordata; Mammalia; Rodentia; Muridae
Source: RNAcentral
UCCCAAAUGAAGGGCCGUGGC